Dermacentor silvarum is the source of this 929-nucleotide long non-coding RNA. RefSeq lists it as uncharacterized. The transcript has 2 exons. The record is from RefSeq and is a predicted model, not a curated record. Lineage: Eukaryota; Metazoa; Arthropoda; Arachnida; Ixodida; Ixodidae.
CGGGGGGGGGGGGGGGGGGGGGGGAAGCAGCAUUUACCCUGGCGUGUCAGCCUAACCAGUCCAGAGCGCGGGCACGUUUGAGAUAGGUGGAAUAGUCGUUGGGCAGCGUUUUUACGUUCACAUGGAGGGCGCCAGCUGUAGCUUUGGUUGCUGGCAGUGGUAGUGUGAUGCGUUGUGGAAUGUGCGGCAUGUUUCUUUUAAUAUGGGAGGAUAGUAUUUGACAUGGUAGUGCCUUUGAUAAAGUAUGAAUUGAAUUGUGUGCCUGGUAGAUGGGAGGGUUUUUUUUUUUGGGGGGGGGGGGGGGAGGGCAGUAAGAGGUACCCGAGAUGCUUCAUGUUAAGGUUUCGUCCCAUUUCAUAGUUACAGUAGUCAUGUGUACCGUAGGCAGUGUAGCAGGUAAGCGCAGCUAGGACGGGCUGGUAAAUUGUUUUGCGCGAAAGUACUAAAUUGUAAUUGUAAAAGGACCUUCCCUAAGUGACUGAAUUCCUUAAACUAGCCAAUUUUUUUUGCAGCUGGACGUACGCUUCGCCCUGCUCCUCGUGGCAGUGCCAUGGCGACGUCUGGCCACUCGCGCACUGCUUCCUAGGAUGCUCGCUCCGCUCUGAAAUUGCGCCCUGUUCAGUCUUCCUUUUUUGUGCGCGCGUGUUUCCCUUUAGUUUUGUAUCGAAUAGCGGGCAGAUCAGUGCGGCCAGUCUGGUAUUGGUGCACCCUAUGCAUCCAGGCUUAUUUUGCAUAAGGCAUGAGGCACACGUGACUCCUUGGAGGCAGAUGUGACGCAACAGGAGGGGAUUCAUGCAUUUCGAGCAUGUGGCAGUAAAUUCGCGGUCAAGCAGCUUUUAUUUAAAGGGUGCAAGUUUCAGGUUCUGUGCUUAUGGGAAGGGCUGUGGAUGAGUGAUGUUUUGAUAUCCCGAAUAAAUGAGUUGAUCUUA